This 84-nucleotide transfer RNA is filed under the name Methanobrevibacter sp. RNAcentral describes it as "tRNA-Ser". It matches the Rfam family "tRNA". Rfam says of the family: Transfer RNA (tRNA) molecules are approximately 80 nucleotides in length. Their secondary structure includes four short double-helical elements and three loops (D, anti-codon, and T loops). Further hydrogen bonds mediate the characteristic L-shaped molecular structure. tRNAs have two regions of fundamental functional importance: the anti-codon, which is responsible for specific mRNA codon recognition, and the 3' end, to which the tRNAs corresponding amino acid is attached (by aminoacyl-tRNA synthetases). tRNAs cope with the degeneracy of the genetic code in two manners: having more than one tRNA (with a specific anti-codon) for a particular amino acid; and 'wobble' base-pairing, i.e. permitting non-standard base-pairing at the 3rd anti-codon position. Lineage: Archaea; Methanobacteriati; Methanobacteriota; Methanobacteria; Methanobacteriales; Methanobacteriaceae. The record is from RNAcentral. RNAcentral also lists the same sequence under 3 other names.
GCCGAGAUAGUCUAGCCUGGUAAGGCGCGGGACUUGAAAUCCCGUGGUGUAAUAGCCGCCUGGGUUCAAAUCCCAGUCUCGGCG